CUUUAGAGAUGUCAGGGAGGAUGGGCUGUGGAAAAUAAUGAGUCUACUGGAGCAAGAUGGACAUUUCAUGGCAGCUUUCUUAAGAGCAUAUAAGAACCUACUAUAUUGCCUGGCAUAUUUCUGCCCUCAAGGCAUUCUUAUGGACGUAAGCUUUAUCUUCCCAACAACAACCCUGUCAGCGGAAUUCUUCUAGAUUAAAUGUGGGCCUGCUGUGACUUCACCUCCAGCCCUGUUUGGGACUCCACCAUCAAAGCAUCUCUGAACAGCUUGCUUUCUGCAAUAGUUGAAGAACGAGUAGCGUGUGGAUGGCUGAGAGUCAUCCCAGGACACAGGUGUGCAUCCCCCCCAGCCAGCCGACAGAGAAGAUGAAUCAGCUUCCCUGAAAGACGUGCCCCAGAGCAGUCUGUCAGCUGAAACUUGUCUGAAGGAGCACGCUUCCCUCCUGACCACAGCUAAUGAAAAUGUGUGGCUUGCCCGGGGAAGAAUCUAUGCUAUUCUUUAAAGGAACAAUGCGAACCACAGAUGUGCAGCAUCUGGCAUACGAUAGGGAUUUCCCUGAAUGAGAACGGUAACUGGACCAGCCAGCUUAUGAGAUGCCUUUGGGUCCAGGCAUGUAUUUUCCUCCUUUUGCCUCUGGAUUUGGGUUCUCAGAAGUUCAGGUGAAGCCCAAGUCACUAUCACUUAGUGUUUUUCAUUAUAUGUGCGCCCCUCCCCGUUUAUCUUCUAUGGUCUUGAUGAAUAUGCUUGAGAUGCCCCCAAACCUAUAACCCUGCCUCUAAGUCUUUGCUCAUGUCAUUCUCCAUUUCUGUACAGCCUCCCCUUCUUUAUGACCAUCUAAUUUGUCAGGACUCUUUCCAUGGAGGUUAAG
Panthera uncia (snow leopard) is the source of this 868-nucleotide long non-coding RNA. RefSeq lists it as uncharacterized. The transcript is spliced from 4 exons. The record is from RefSeq and is a predicted model, not a curated record. NCBI's taxonomy places the organism in Eukaryota, Metazoa, Chordata, Mammalia, Carnivora, Felidae.